GCAUCUCUCGGGGUGUCCGCUGCCAGCGACGGCACAGCGGAGGAAGUCCGGUGAGAAUCCGGUGCGGUCCCGCCACUGUGACCGCGGCUCAGUGAGCCGUGGGAGCCAGGAACUCCGGCCGUCCUCCACUGCCCGG
Molecule: non-coding RNA, 136 nt
Organism: Kitasatospora cheerisanensis KCTC 2395
Lineage: Bacteria; Bacillati; Actinomycetota; Actinomycetes; Kitasatosporales; Streptomycetaceae
Source: Rfam